GUCGGCUAACCUGCCCUCGGGACGAGAACAANNNNNGGGAAACUGGGGCUAAUUCUCGAUAGGCGAAGAACUCUGGAAUGAGUCUUUACCCAAAAGAUGUUUAGAUCAUGCUUCUAGGCGUCGCCCAAGGAUGGGGCCGCGACCGAUCAGGUAGUUGGUGAGGCAAUGGCUCACCAAGCCUUUAACCGGUGCGGGCCGUGGGAGCGGGAGCCCGGAGAUGGGCACUGAGACAAGGGCCCAGGCCCUACGGGGCGCAGCAGUCGCGAAAACUUUGCAAUAAGCGAAAGCUUGACAGGGCUAUCCCGAGUGCCAUCCGCUGAGGAAGGCUUUUACCCAGUCUAGUAAGCUGGGGGAAUAAGGAGAGGGCAAGUCUGGUGUCAGCCGCCGCGGUAAUACCAGCUCUCCGAGUGGUGUGGAUGUUUAUUGGGCCUAAAGCAUCCGUAGCUGGCUGAGUUAGUCCCCUGUUAAAUCCACCGAAUCAAUCGUUGGAUUGCGGGGGAUACUGCUCGGNUAGGGGACGGGAGAGGCAGACGGUAUUUCCGGGGUAAGGGUGGAAAUCUUAUAAUCCCGGGGAAGACCACCNAUGGC
This 588-nucleotide ribosomal RNA is filed under the name uncultured crenarchaeote. RNAcentral's name for it is "bacterial SSU rRNA". It matches the Rfam family "Archaeal small subunit ribosomal RNA", at positions 100 to 667 of the family's 1478-position model. Lineage: Archaea; Thermoproteati; Thermoproteota. The record is from RNAcentral.